RNAcentral lists this small nucleolar RNA (93 nucleotides) under Lachancea mirantina. Lineage: Eukaryota; Fungi; Ascomycota; Saccharomycetes; Saccharomycetales; Saccharomycetaceae. The record is from RNAcentral.
CAAAAUGAUGAAUGACAUUCCACUGUCCUUCAAUCCGGCGAUGAUUUCUUUGAAAUAUGUGCCGCGGAUUUAAACAUGCAUCACCAUCUGACC